AUUAUUGCGCUCGGGGCAAUGGCGAAGUUAGUAAGGUUCUAACCGAGGCGCGCCAAUUGCUGGUUGAAAACUAUUUCCAAACCUUU
Molecule: small nuclear RNA, 86 nt
Organism: Tripterygium wilfordii
Lineage: Eukaryota; Viridiplantae; Streptophyta; Magnoliopsida; Celastrales; Celastraceae
Product: U4 spliceosomal RNA
Exons: 1
Source: RefSeq, a predicted model, not a curated record